AUGCACGCUGGCGGCGUGCCUAAUACCUGCCAGUCGAGCGAACAGAUGAGGAGCUUGCUCCUCUGACGUUAGCGGCGGACGGGUGAGUAACACGUGGAUAACCUACCUAUAAGACUGGGAUAACUUCGGGAAACCGGAGCUAAUACCGGAUAAUAUAUUGAACCGCAUGGUUCAAUAGUGAAAGACGGUUUUGCUGUCACUUAUAGAUGGAUCCGCGCCGCAUUAGCUAGUUGGUAAGGUAACGGCUUACCAAGGCAACGAUGCGUAGCCGACCUGAGAGGGUGAUCGGCCACACUGGAACUGAGACACGGUCCAGACUCCUACGGGAGGCAGCAGUAGGGAAUCUUCCGCAAUGGGCGAAAGCUUGACGGAGCAACGCCGCGUGAGUGAUGAAGGUCUUCGGAUCGUAAAACUCUGUUAUUAGGGAAGAACAAAUGUGUAAGUAACUAUGCACGUCUUGACGGUACCUAAUCAGAAAGCCACGGCUAACUACGUG
Molecule: ribosomal RNA, 496 nt
Filed under: uncultured bacterium
Lineage: Bacteria
Description: partial 16S ribosomal RNA
Rfam family: Bacterial small subunit ribosomal RNA
Source: RNAcentral